RNAcentral lists this ribosomal RNA (526 nucleotides) under Naganishia albidosimilis. RNAcentral describes it as "partial large subunit ribosomal RNA". It matches the Rfam family "Eukaryotic large subunit ribosomal RNA", at positions 115 to 645 of the family's 3401-position model. Lineage: Eukaryota; Fungi; Basidiomycota; Tremellomycetes; Filobasidiales; Filobasidiaceae. The record is from RNAcentral.
UUGAAAUCUGGUAGCCUUCGGUUGCCCGAGUUGUAAUCUAGAGAAAUGUUUUCCGUGCCGGCCCAUGUACAAGUCCCUUGGAACAGGGCGUCAUAGAGGGUGAGAAUCCCGUCCUUGACAUGGACCCCCGGUGCUUUGUGAUACAUUUUCAACGAGUCGAGUUGUUUGGGAAUGCAGCUCAAAAUGGGUGGUGAAUUCCAUCUAAAGCUAAAUAUUGGCGAGAGACCGAUAGCGAACAAGUACCGUGAGGGAAAGAUGAAAAGCACUUUGGAAAGAGAGUUAAACAGUACGUGAAAUUGUUGAAAGGGAAACGAUUGAAGUCAGUCAUGCUCUUUGGUAUUUAUAUCAUUGAGUGGGGUCAACAUCAGUUUUGAUCGAUGGAUAAAGGCACUAGGAAGGUAGCACUCUCGGGUGAACUUAUAGCCUAGCGUCAUAUACAUUGAUUGGGACUGAGGAACGCAGCAUGCCUUUAUGGCCGGGAUUCGUCCACGUACAUGCUUAGGAUGUUGACAUAAUGGCUUUAAAC